GGCGGACGGGUGAGAUAACGCGUAGGAAUCUACCUAAUGGUGGGGGAUAGCCCAGGGAAACUUGGAUUAAUACCGCAUAAGUCCUAAGGGAGAAAGCGGGGGAUCUUCGGACCUCGUGCCAUUAGAUGAGCCUGCGUAAGAUUAGCUAGUUGGUGAGGUAAGAGCUCACCAAGGCGACGAUCUUUAGCUGGUCUGAGAGGAUGAUCAGCCACACUGGGACUGAGACACGGCCCAGACUCCUACGGGAGGCAGCAGUGGGGAAUAUUGGACAAUGGGGGCAACCCUGAUCCAGCCAUGCCGCGUGUGUGAAGAAGGCCUUCGGGUUGUAAAGCACUUUCAGAUGUGAGGAAAGGUUGCAGAUUAAUACUCUGUAGCUGUGACGUUAACAUCAGAAGAAGGACCGGCUAACUCCGUGCCAGCAGCCGCGGUAAUACGGAGGGUCCGAGCGUUAAUCGGAAUUACUGGGCGUAAAGCGCGC
This 478-nucleotide ribosomal RNA is filed under the name uncultured Oceanospirillaceae bacterium. RNAcentral describes it as "bacterial SSU rRNA". It matches the Rfam family "Bacterial small subunit ribosomal RNA", at positions 97 to 570 of the family's 1533-position model. Lineage: Bacteria; Pseudomonadati; Pseudomonadota; Gammaproteobacteria; Oceanospirillales; Oceanospirillaceae. The record is from RNAcentral.